AUUGUAAUUUUAAGAAUUGCCUUGAAUAAAUCACAUGACUCAUAUUCAACAUUAAAAUCUUUUUCUCUUCUUUUUUUGUUGUGUGUGCGGGAGAGAGGGGUAGCAAACUACCGGUUUUGCUCAUUGUUUUUAGGGCAUGAACUCGGCUACAAAUAUAAAACUAUUAGGCUUUGAACUUUAAAUAUCAUAGUACUAAUCAUCAAGCUCAUAGGCAACUGCGAGAGAUACGAUUAAUUACAAACCAGUUUUAUUA
Molecule: long non-coding RNA, 253 nt
Filed under: Ananas comosus (pineapple)
Lineage: Eukaryota; Viridiplantae; Streptophyta; Magnoliopsida; Poales; Bromeliaceae
Description: long non-coding RNA (ACOM_LNC007671)
Source: RNAcentral